CGUACACUCCUGCGGGAGGCAGCAGUGGGGAAUAUUGGACAAUGGGCGCAAGCCUGAUCCAGCCAUGCCGCGUGAGUGAUGAAGGCCCUAGGGUUGUAAAGCUCUUUCACCGGUGAAGAUAAUGACGGUAACCGGAGAAGAAGCCCCGGCUAACUUCGUGCCAGCAGCCGCGGUAAUACGAAGGGGGCUAGCGUUGUUCGGAUUUACUGGGCGUAAAGCGCACGUAGGCGGACUAUUAAGUCAGGGGUGAAAUCCCGGGGCUCAACCCCGGAACUGCCUUUGAUACUGGUAGUCUUGAGUUCGAGAGAGGUGAGUGGAAUUCCGAGUGUAGAGGUGAAAUUCGUAGAUAUUCGGAGGAACACCAGUGGCGAAGGCGGCUCACUGGCUCGAUACUGACGCUGAGGUGCGAAAGCGUGGGGAGCAAACAGGAUUAGAUACCCCUGUAGUCCC
This 450-nucleotide ribosomal RNA is filed under the name uncultured organism. Its description in RNAcentral is "partial 16S ribosomal RNA". It matches the Rfam family "Bacterial small subunit ribosomal RNA", at positions 330 to 797 of the family's 1533-position model. The record is from RNAcentral.